AGAGUUUGAUCAUGGCUCAGAACGAACGCUGGCGGCGCGUUUUAAGCAUGCAAGUCGAACGGUAGGGGAGCUUCGGCUCUCCGAGAGUGGCGAACGGGUGAGUAACACGUAGGUUAUCUACCUUUGGGUGGGGGAUAGCCCAUGGAAACAUGGGGUAAUACCGCAUAAAGCCCUUCGGGGUUAAAGGAGCAAUUGCUCCGCCUGGAGAUGAGCCUGCGGUCCAUUAGCUAGUUGGCGGGGUAAAGGCCCACCAAGGCGACGAUGGAUAGCCGGCCUGAGAGGGUGAACGGCCACACUGGGACUGAGACACGGCCCAGACUCCUACGGGAGGCAGCAGCUAAGAAUCUUCCGCAAUGGGGGAAACCCUGACGGAGCGACGCCGCGUGGACGAUGAAGGCCGGAAGGUUGUAAAGUCCUUUUCUCUGAGAAGAAUAAGGUGGGGAGUGGAAUGCCCUGCUGAUGACGUUAUCAGAGGAAUAAGCCCCGGCCAAUUACGUGCCAGCAGCCGCGGUAACACGUAUGGGGCGAGCGUUGUUCGGAAUUAUUGGGCGUAAAGGGCGUGUAGGCGGCCUGUUAAGCUUGGUGUUAAAGGCUCCGGCUCAACCGGAGUUUGGCGCUGAGAACUGGCAGGCUAGAGUUUUGGAGGGGGAGCUGGAAUUCCAGGUGUAGGGGUGAAAUCUGUAGAUAUCUGGAAGAACACCGGUGGCGAAGGCGAGCUCCUGGCCAUGAACUGACGCUGAGGCGCGAAAGCGUGGGGAGCGAACAGGAUUAGAUACCCUAGUAGUCC
This 787-nucleotide ribosomal RNA is filed under the name uncultured bacterium. Its description in RNAcentral is "bacterial SSU rRNA". It matches the Rfam family "Bacterial small subunit ribosomal RNA", at positions 8 to 796 of the family's 1533-position model. The record is from RNAcentral.